Molecule: transfer-messenger RNA, 394 nt
Filed under: chicken gut metagenome
Rfam family: transfer-messenger RNA
About the family: Bacterial tmRNA, also known as 10Sa RNA or SsrA, is named for its dual tRNA and mRNA-like properties. Its role is to liberate the mRNA from a stalled ribosome. To accomplish this part of the tmRNA is used as a reading frame that ends in a translation stop signal.
Source: RNAcentral
GGGGCUGUUUUAGUUUCGAUUGCGUUAUGAGGACGAAGUAAGCAUACCAAAGGCUCGGCUUUGUAAAAACGGAAACUUAAAUUUAAACGCAGAAUCAAAGAAUUUUAACAAAGUAGUAGCUUUCCCCACCUUCGGUGCUCAGAGCUACGCUUGCGCUGCUUAACAUAAGCAGUCCGUCGCAGCUUAUUGCUUCCGCACGGUAAGUUGCGGCGCUAAUUUAUGCGGAACCUUGCCGCGGAUUUAACCGCUGCCGCGGCGAUGUAUUUUGCGGUUUGCGUGUGCCAUAAGCCCGUCCGUCGGCUGACGGCACAUAAAGAUUAAUUGGCGGAAUAAGUAUGUAGAAAGCUCGUGCAAUUACCGUAAGACCGGGGUGCAAGUCCCCGCAGCUCCACCA